Molecule: long non-coding RNA, 285 nt
Organism: Tachysurus fulvidraco (yellow catfish)
Lineage: Eukaryota; Metazoa; Chordata; Actinopteri; Siluriformes; Bagridae
Exons: 3
Source: RefSeq, a predicted model, not a curated record
UGACGAUGAAGAGACCACAUCUGCGGUGACAGAAGUGGACAAUGCUAGUAGAUCCACUGAGUACAUACCUAGGGAUUUGCCCACAGAUGAGGGUCCUUCAACCUCAGCACACAAUCUAAGCAGGUUGCCAGCAAAGGAGCUGUAUAAGGUCCAUCUUCAAAAACAAAUAAGAAAAAGUGACAUGUGACAUGGAGAUGGACCUUAUACAGCUUCAAAUGGAAGAGAAAAGGCUCCUCAUUAAAAAAGCAGCACUUGAAAUUGAAUUACUGGACCAUCGCCUUAAGG